RNAcentral lists this ribosomal RNA (331 nucleotides) under uncultured bacterium. RNAcentral's name for it is "bacterial SSU rRNA". It matches the Rfam family "Bacterial small subunit ribosomal RNA", at positions 568 to 897 of the family's 1533-position model. The record is from RNAcentral.
CGUGUAGGCGGUUGGUCAAGUCGGGUGUGAAAGCCUGGGGCUCAGCCCCAGAAGUGCAUCCGAAACUAGCCAGCUGGAGCGCGAUAGAGGAGGGUGGAAUUCCUGGUGUAGCGGUGAAAUGCGUAGAUAUCAGGAAGAACACCGGCGGCGAAGGCGGCCCUCUGGAUCGUUGCUGACGCUGAGACGCGAAAGCGUGGGGAGCAAACAGGAUUAGAUACCCUGGUAGUCCACGCCUUAAACGAUGGGUACUAGGUGUUCGGGGUGUUGACCCCCUGAGUGCCGCAGUUAACGCAUUAAGUACCCCGCCUGGGGACUACGGCCGCAAGGUUAA